AUUCAAAUCCUUUAACGAGGAUCUAGCGGAGGGCAAGUCUGUGCCAGCAGCCGCGGUAAUUCCAGCUCCGCAGGUGUAUAUCUAUGCUGCUGCGGUUAAAAAGCUCGUAGUUGGAUCUGCGUGCUCGGAACUGGUUGGCUCACUGAGUUCAAACUGGUCUCCGGCGCUUUAUUGGCUGGUUUUCCCUUGAUGCUCUUAACCGGGUGUCUUGGGUGGCUAGCACGUUUACUUUGAAAAAAUUAGAGUGCUCAAUACAGGCGUAAAGCCUUGAAUAGUGGUGCAUGGAAUAAUAGAAUAGGACCUCGGCUCUAUUUUGUUGGUUUUCGGAACGCGAGGUAAUGAUUAAGAGGGACAGACGGGGGCAUUCGUAUUGCGACGUUAGAGGUGAAAUUCUUGGAUCGUCGCAAGACGGACGACUGCGAAAGCAUUUGCCAAGAAUGUUUUCAUUAAUCAAGAACGAAAGUUAGAGGUUCGAAGGCGAUCAGAUACCGCCCUAGUUCUAACCGUAAACGAUGCCAACUAGCGAUUCGCAGGCGUUAAACAACGACCUUGCGGGCAGCUUCCCGGAAACGAAAGUGUUCGGGUUCCGGGGGAAGUAUGGUUGCAAAGCUGAAACUUAAAGGAAUUGACGGAAGGGCACCACCAGGAGUGGAGCCUGCGGCUUAAUUUGACCCAACACGGGAAAACUCACCCGGCCCGGACACCGUAAGGAUUGACAGAUUGAGAGCUCUUUCUUGAUUCGGUGGGUGGUGGUGCAUGGCCGUUCUUAGUUGGUGGAGCGAUUUGUCUGGUUUAUUCCGAUAACGAACGAGACUCUGGCCUACUAAAUAGUGGGCGGAUUCUUUCUGUCCGCAACACUUCUUAGAGGGACAAGCGGUGUUCAGCCGCACGAGAUUGAGCAAUAACAGGUCUGUGAUGCCCUUAGAUGUCCGGGGCUGCACGCGCGCUACACUGAAGGAAUCAGCGUGCUUUCUGACCUUGCCCGAAAGGGCUGGGUAACCCGAUGAAAAUCCUUCGUGAUUGGGAUAGGGACUUGCAAUUAUUUCCCUUGAACGAGGAAUUCCCAGUAAGUGUGGGUCAUAAGCUCGCGUUGAUUACGUCCCUGCCCUUUGUACACACCGCCCGUCGCUGCCCGGAACUGAGCCGUUUCGAGAAGAACAGGGACCGUCGUUGAAGGGCCUUAACGGGCUUUUCUCUGAUAGAAACUGUU
RNAcentral lists this ribosomal RNA (1210 nucleotides) under metagenome. Its description in RNAcentral is "SSU rRNA". It matches the Rfam family "Eukaryotic small subunit ribosomal RNA", at positions 523 to 1758 of the family's 1831-position model. The record is from RNAcentral.